GGAGUCCACUAAGCAAGCUAAAGCUCUUAGCUCACUCCAGUAAAACGUUCUAAACAGAGUCUUUAUGCAGCUGAAAAUGCAUAUAAAGGACCCUCUGCCUCCUGGUAAUAUCAAGAGAAAACAGAGGCAGUCAGAAACAUUAAAGUCGUCGUAUUGUUGGCAAUGUACUGCCAUGAAUAAGAAUGAAGACACACCUUAAAACUGUAAUGUAUAGGACAAAGCUCUCCUUUCCUACAAUCGUUUUUCAUAAAAUUAUUUUAUACAUUCAUCUCAGUAUUAUACUCUCACUAUGUAUAGUUUCCUGGAGUGGCUUGUUUUGCUUUCAUCAAUAUUUUAAUAAUUUACAUGGGUGAGGCCUCUUUUCAGGAAGUUUUUAAAGACUAACAGUGAGUUUGAUCCCUCAGAGCUUUGUAUUGAGCUGUUUACUGAUGAAAGAAAUCACUGGAAGGUAAAAGAAAACUGACCUGUUCUGUCAGAUAGCAAAUUUCAUUGACAAAGAAUCCAGAGAAAUGCAGAAAAGCUAUACUGAAAAUAACAUUUAUGUUUCUGGCUGCAAAAAUAUGUACUAUUUCAAAGUGAAUAAUGAAUUGUAUCUGAGGCACUUAGACGUGAUUCCUACCCUUUGGAAUGUCUAUUUUAGAGUUUGUUGGUGGUAAAGGACAGCAAUAUGGAAGAGUGUUCAGAAGCAUGGACUCUGAAGAUAAAAUUGUAGAAAAGUUUUAAUAAUAUAAUGUAAAUACUUAGUAUAGUGCUUGGCACAUAAUAAAUAAUCAAAAAUUACAUGCUAUGAUAAUAAUUCUUAUUAUAAUAAUUAUUGUUAUUACCACCACUCCUAAUUUUACUACCAAUAGCACGAUGAGUUUAAUUUGGUAGGGAACAUAUUAGAGCCAAAAUAUUCUUUUUCUCCAACUUUGUUGUCAUAUUUGCACUUGGGAAUUUUCCAUGGAUCUGUUUUGUAUAUUGUCCCAACUAAUGUCAUCUGACCCAACAUACCCAAUGAUAGCUGGUCCCUGACUUUUAUAGUUAUAAACUAGAUUCUUUUGUUUGAGAUUAGUGGGAUUAGAGCACUAUAUUUCAGGAAAUGUAGAGAAGUAAGUAUAGAAGUUAAUAUUAAUUUAACUGAUACUUUUCCUACUCAUACAUAUAAUUACCUUUGUUGGAAGAGACAUUAGAGCCACCACCCAUAGUUACCCCUCAAGAAAGGAGGUUCAAAUUAUGCAUACUUAGUUGUUCCAAGUCUAGUUUAGUGUAGCAGAUAAGAAUUUCACACCAUAAACUAAAAUGUGAAAAUAAUAUGACUUUGUAGUUUAGUUUAUGUUUUAAAGCUCUAAUAGGAUAAUAGAUUUUAUUCUGUUGAGGUUCCCAAUUUUCAAAGAGUCAUGUCUAAUUUUCAGAGUUGUUAUAUAGUGCCAAGUCAUUGUUGGAGGCAGGGAACGCUUGAAUCAUCUGUUCACUCAGGCACUGGCCAAUGCCAUAAUUAUCCAGUUGUGUUCUAUUAAGUCAACAAUACCAAUUGUCUUUCAAAGUUUUCCCUGGUCUUCUCUGCAUGGCUUCACAGGAAUUGGAACAGUCUCCAGUCGUUCUGUGCAAUGCUCUAGGACUACCAAAUGAUUUAUUUGGGUGUUUGAGAUAUAAAAGCUAGUACGUGUUGUUUUUAUUUUUUGGUUUUCAACCUAUUGCAUACUUC
Molecule: long non-coding RNA, 1687 nt
Filed under: Homo sapiens (human)
Lineage: Eukaryota; Metazoa; Chordata; Mammalia; Primates; Hominidae
Description: HSALNT0202373
Source: RNAcentral